This is a long non-coding RNA of Amblyraja radiata (thorny skate), 166 nucleotides long. RefSeq lists it as uncharacterized. The record is from RefSeq and is a predicted model, not a curated record. Lineage: Eukaryota; Metazoa; Chordata; Chondrichthyes; Rajiformes; Rajidae. The transcript is spliced from 3 exons.
UACUUCUAAAAAAUACGAGUGUAAUCAUUUCUUUCAUACUUGUAUGAAAUAUCGCAAACUCCCGCAAUGCUUUCGCAUCUUCUGGCUGGAUAUCUGUCCAAGCGUAGGCCUUCUUCAUGGGGAUGUCUUUGGAUCAGGGAAGUUUAAAGGGACUUUUAUGUCGGGU